GAUGAACGCUGGCGGCGUGCUUAACACAUGCAAGUCGAACGGAAAGGCCCAAGCUUGCUUGGGUACUCGAGUGGCGAACGGGUGAGUAACACGUGGGUGAUCUGCCCUGCACUUCGGGAUAAGCCUGGGAAACUGGGUCUAAUACCGGAUAGGACCACUUCUUGGGUGUUGUGGUGGAAAGUUUUUUCGGUGUGGGAUGAGCUCGCGGCCUAUCAGCUUGUUGGUGGGGUAAUGGCCUACCAAGGCGUCGACGCGUAGCCGGCCGGGGAGGGUGUGCGGCCACGCUGGAACUGAGAGACGGUCCAGACUCUGACGGGAGGAAGCACUAGGGAAUCUUCCGGAAUGGGCGGAAGCCGGACGGAGCCACGCGGCGUGAGUGCUGCAGGUCUUCGGAUCGUAAAAUUCUGUUAUUAGGGAAGAACAUACGUGUAAGUAACUGUGCACGUCUGGACGGGACCUAAUCAGAAAGCCACGGCUAACCAAGUG
RNAcentral lists this ribosomal RNA (486 nucleotides) under uncultured bacterium. RNAcentral describes it as "partial 16S ribosomal RNA". It matches the Rfam family "Bacterial small subunit ribosomal RNA", at positions 28 to 507 of the family's 1533-position model. The record is from RNAcentral.